UCAUCAAGCAUCCACACAUUCAAAUCAACCAACUCUCACAUUCAUUAAGCAUAAGACAUCAAAUGAAUUCUUGCAAAUGGUCAGUUGGUCCAAGUCAUUUGGUUGGGUAAGGGAAGGCUUUUAGUCAAGUGAGUCAAGAGGUUCAAAAUAUAUGAUCUUUAGGGUGGUUUACUCUCAAAACAAGUAGCCUUGACAUUGCACAUAAUAUAUCUAAGAAAGGGACCAACUCAUGCAUACAAUGCUCAAUCUCCAUUGUUCUACCCUUUUCCCAAACAUACAAUUACACAAUCAUUCCCAAAUGUCAAACCCAACUCACAUCUCUCACCAAAAGAUCCUAAGAACAUUAACUCCUUCUCUUUGAAAUCUA
Molecule: long non-coding RNA, 367 nt
Filed under: Brassica napus (rape)
Lineage: Eukaryota; Viridiplantae; Streptophyta; Magnoliopsida; Brassicales; Brassicaceae
Description: long non-coding RNA (BNAP_LNC018543)
Source: RNAcentral